Molecule: long non-coding RNA, 247 nt
Organism: Labeo rohita (rohu)
Lineage: Eukaryota; Metazoa; Chordata; Actinopteri; Cypriniformes; Cyprinidae
Exons: 3
Source: RefSeq, a predicted model, not a curated record
GUCAAACCAUAUGGGUAAAACAUAGGCAAACACAAUCAGUCUCAUAUAGGCUGCCUACAUGGGCCCAAGGUAGUACCCACAUAAGCUACCUCUAUAUGGGUUCUAAAUGGGGAAACACAUAUGGGGCCCUCUUGGUCAAACCAUAUGGGUAAAACAUGGGCAAACACAAUCAGUCCCAUAUAGGCUGCCUGCAUGGGCCCAAGGUAGUACCCACAAAGGCUACCUCUAUAUGGGUUCUGAAUGGGGA